Molecule: ribosomal RNA, 496 nt
Filed under: uncultured bacterium
Lineage: Bacteria
Description: partial 16S ribosomal RNA
Rfam family: Bacterial small subunit ribosomal RNA
Source: RNAcentral
GAUGAACGCUGGCGGCGUGCCUAAUACAUGCAAGUCGAGCGAACAGACGAGGAGCUUGCUCCUCUGACGUUAGCGGCGGACGGGUGAGUAACACGUGGAUAACCUACCUAUAAGACUGGGAUAACUUCGGGAAACCGGAGCUAAUACCGGAUAAUAUAUUGAACCGCAUGGUUCAAUAGUGAAAGACGGUUUUGCUGUCACUUAUAGAUGGAUCCGCGCCGCAUUAGCUAGUUGGUAAGGUAACGGCUUACCAAGGCUACGAUGCGUAGCCGACCUGAGAGGGUGAUCGGCCACACUGGAACUGAGACACGGUCCAGACUCCUACGGGAGGCAGCAGUAGGGAAUCUUCCGCAAUGGGCGAAAGCCUGACGGAGCAACGCCGCGUGAGUGAUGAAGGUCUUCGGAUCGUAAAACUCUGUUAUUAGGGAAGAACAAAUGUGUAAGUAACUAUGCACGUCUGGACGGUACCUAAUCAGAAAGCCACGGCUAACUACGU